Molecule: non-coding RNA, 30 nt
Filed under: Homo sapiens (human)
Lineage: Eukaryota; Metazoa; Chordata; Mammalia; Primates; Hominidae
Source: RNAcentral
CGAGCCAAAAUAGGUUGUUUUGAGUCAGGU